RNAcentral lists this long non-coding RNA (4356 nucleotides) under Homo sapiens (human). RNAcentral describes it as "HSALNT0264932". Lineage: Eukaryota; Metazoa; Chordata; Mammalia; Primates; Hominidae. The record is from RNAcentral.
CUUGCCUCGGAAUUGGCUUCUGGGGAAACCAAAAAUAUAUUAAAAAAAGAGAGACCAGGACCUUAAAAAGAGCCCAAGUUGUUGAGCUCCCUGCCAAGUCACCCCCAGGUAUCUCUGCCCACCAGCUUGCAUGAGCCAGAUCCUCAGUGCAGGUUUUUCCAAUCAGUCAUUUGUUCUUCCACCCAACGCUCAAGAUUUGCUUCUUCAAGACAACUCUCUGAUCAGCUGAGACCCAUAGACACCCAGCUUCUACCACACAUAUGAUGGCAUUAUCCUAGGGCAUGGCAGAGCAACGCAAGGGAAAACUCUGGGCCCCCAAGUGAUGUCAUGGAGGAGAACUCUCAACCCAGAACUACUACGUGAGAAACAACGCUCUCUCUUCUUUAAGCCAUAGGUGUGUUGGGAAUCUUUGUUACAGCAGCACGCCUGAUCUUUUGUUUUGUUUUGUUUUGUUUUAGAGAUGGAGUCUUGCUCUUUCGCCAGGCUGGAGUGCAGUGGUGCGAUCUUGGCUCACCAUGUUGGUCAGGCUGGUUUCAAAUCCCUGACCUCAAGUGAUCCUCCCACCUUGGCCUCCCAAAGUGCUGGGAUUACAGGUGUGAGCCACCGCACCCGGCCCAGCCAUGCCUUGUCUUAACUAGCAUAGCCGCCCAACGUCCACUUCUUUUGGCCAUGUUGUCCUGAUUCUGCUGGAGAAUCCCUUUCCCACUGCUCCCAGACCAGUGGUGUAGCUGACCUGCGCUCUCUCCACUCAAUUCAGGGGAGGGAGGGGUUUAGGCCUGGGCUAAGAGAGCUGCACAUUUCCCAGGGCACAGUGAUUAGUUGAGGGUGGGUCCCAGAGCCAAAUCUGCCCAAGAUCUUAGCCUGAAAGAGAAACCCUCCUGCUGAGUGACUGCACUGUGAGGCAGAAGUCCAGAGCUGUGGGUGGCCAUCCAGCCUCCAUUUGCGCCUGCCUGAGAAAGAAGCCACCAUGGGGGAAAUCGAGCUAAAAGACGGAGAGGGAGGUAAGAGAGGAUGACAUCACAUAAGCACCAGAUCUGGCCACCCCUGAAACUGGAACAACCCUAAGCUUUACAGCUACUACAUUCCCUUUUCUGCUGAAGUUGUUUUACACUGGGUUUCUGUCUCUUGCAACCAAGAGCUCUGUUAAAUAAAAACCUGACCCUAAGGAGAACGUUAGCUGGUUCACAAUUCCCUGUGCAAAACAGGCACAGGUCAGCUGCCCCAGCCUGUCGUUUGGAUAUUCCUUUCUAAGAACGCUCACUUUUGUUGUCUACAUGACCCAGAUAACCAAGGAGAAAGCAAAUCAACCGCCUUCCAGCGGCGCCUUCCUUGGCAGCAAGUGCUAAGAGAGAACACAAUGUGAGUACUCUGCCCUCUGGAGUCAGGGUUGAUCCUCAGCACUUGCUGUCCUGGGAGGCUGCACCUGUGACACUUGAGUGCCAGGUUCAACCCCUACUGCUGCUGCUGCUGCCUGAAUGGGGCCAUUUAGACUGUUGAGUGCUACAGCCUCAGCCCAGGAACCCGGAGCUUCACAUGAGGCAGAGCAGGGCCCCAGGGUCCCUGAAACUUGCCAGUUCAAACAGCAGAGGGGUGAGGACUCCCCAGUCAGCCCUGGUCUCAUACCUGCCUCUGCAUGGUCCCAGUCCAGCCUGAGGCCUUUGCUUUCUUUUUUGAAGGGAAGGUGAGGAGAGAGGGGGAAAAUAGAGGUGUUCUGACUAGACUUAGGAUUCCUGGCCUCUGCCUCUGACCGCCAGAGGACAGCCUCUGCAGUUGCCUCAUCUACUCAUGAAAACAGGCCUGUGACCCCAGGGGUGCUCUGAGGAUUCUUCCAGAAAACAUCUGCCCAGCUAGGACUACCUAGCUCACUGCCCAAAAAGGGUUCAUUUCCUUUCCUUCUGAAACAAAAGCGCUUAAUUGGAAGAGAAGCAUUGACUCAAGCUAUAGGAUAUGCCACUUAAAAUGUCCAGAUCUUGGCACAAGGCCUGGCGCACAGUGUGGGAGAGAAGGAGAGAAGAAGGUGGAAGGAAAGGAGGGAGGGGAAAGAGGAAGCAGGGAGGGAGAAAAUAAGACAAGGGCCUCCUCAUCUGGAUGCUUCCCUAGACCAAGAAGUGGCCCAGGUGGUGCCCAGGGGACAGGGAGUGGGCAAUAAAAGACAAUGGGGUGUAGGUGAUAGGGUGUAGAUGAUCAGGGUAUAGGUGAUCAGGAUGUAGGUGAUGGGGUGUAGAUGACUGGGGUAUAGAUGAUUGAAGUGUAGGUGAUGGGGUAUAGAUGAUCGAGGUGUAGGUGAUGGGGUAUAGAUGAUUGAGGUGUAGGUGAUGGGGUGUAGGUGAUGGGGGUCAAGGUGAUCAAGGUGUAGGUGAUGGGGUGUUGGUGAUUGGGGUGUAGGUGAUCAGGGUGUAAGUGAUGGGGUAUAGGUGGUGGGGUGUAGAUGAUCGGGGUGUAGGUGAUGGGUAUAGGUGAUGGGGUGUAGGUGAUGGGGUGUAGGUGAUGGGGGUCAAGGUGAUCAAGGUGUUGGUGAUGGGGUGUUGGUGAUCGGGGUGUAAGUGAUGAGGUAUAGGUGGUGGGGUGUAGAUGAUUGGGGUGUAGGUGAUGGGGUGUAGGUGACGGGUAUAGGUGAUGGGGUAUAGAUGAUCAGGGUGUAGGUGAUUGGGGUAUAGGUGAGCAGGGUGUAAGUGAAGGGGUAUAGGUGGUGGGGUAUAGAUGAUCAGGUGUAGGUGACUGGGGUUUGGGUGAUGGGGUGUAGGUGAUGGGGUAUAGAUGAUUGAGGUAUCGGUGAUGGGGGUCAAGGUGAUCAAGGUGUAGGUGAUGGGGUGUUGGUGAUUGGGGUGUAGGUGAUCAGGGUGUAAGUGAUGAGGUAUAGGUGAUGCAGUGUAGGUGAUCAGGGUAUAGGUGAUGAGGUGUAGGUGAUGGAGUGUAGAUGAUUGAGGUGUAGGUGAUGGGGUAUAGGUGAUUGGGGUGUAGGCAAUGGGGUGUAGGUGAUCGGGGUCAAGGUGAUAGAGGUGUAGGUGAUGGGGUGUUGGUGAUUGGGGUGUAGGUGAUCAGGGUGUAGGUGAUGGGGUAUAGGUGAUUGGGGUGUAGGCAAUGGGGUGUAGGUGAUUGGGGUCAAGGAGAUAGAGGUGUAGGUGAUGGGGUGUUGGUGAUUGGGGUGUAGGUGAUCAGGGUGUAGGUGAUUGGGGUGUAGGUGAUCGGGGUGUAGGUGACCAGGGUAUAGGUGAUCAGGGUGUAGGUGAUGGGAUGUAGGUGAUCAGGGUCAAGGUGAUUGAGGUGUAGGUGAUGGGAUGUUGGCAACCAGGGUGUAGGUGAUCAGGAUGUAGGUGAUGGGGUGUAGACGAUCAGGGUGUAGGUGAUGGGCUGUUGCUGACCAGGGUGUAGGUGAUCAGGGUGUAGGUGAUCCGAACUUCCUACUCAAUUCAGGCAACAGCUCCCAGCCUGAGGCAAAUACCCCCCGAGGCAGUCAGGGUCUCACCUCCCAUGGCUCUGACGCAGGCCUCCAAGGUGAGGAGAUGGAGGUAGCAGAGGUCACUUCACUCAGCUGUCACACACCCUGAGGGAACUCCUGUCACUGUUAUCCCACCUGCAAGUGAGGAGCCAGCAUUUCUCAUGCUCCAGGGUUGGCCACAGAGCCCAUUCAAGGGAGGGAGAAGAGCCUUCGGCCAGCGCAUCCUAACCGCAGAAAGCCAAGACCUCUGCAGAAAAAGAGACCAGGCCCAUAAAAAGAGAUCCAUGAGUUGAGUUCCCUGCCAUGCCACCCCCAGGCAUCUCUGCCCACCAGCCUGCAUGAGCCAGCCCCUCAGUGCAGGUUUUUCCAAUUGGCCGUUUGUUCUUCCACCCAACACUCAAGAUUUGCUUCUCAGCCUGGACAACAUAGCAAAACCCCAUCUCUACAAAAAAUACAAAAAUUAGCUGGGCAUAGUGGCACACACCUAUAGUCCCAGCUACUCGGGAGGCUGAAGUGGGAAGAUUACCUGAGCCUGGGAGGUCAAGGUUGCAGUGAGCCAUGAUCAUGCCACUGUACUCCAGCCUGGGUGACAGAGUGAGAACUUGUCUCAAAAACAAAAAAAGAGAGGAAGAUCUGCUUCUUCAAACCCACACAACUAAUAUAAAGUAAUCAACCUCCCCACCUCAAUAACCUGAAGUUAAACAUCACACAAUAAGCCCUGAACAGAGAGCUGUAGGUCAAUGUUCCAUUUUGCUUUUAAAAGCUUCACAAGAACAUUUCAUUUAUUAAAAUAGUUUCUGUAAACUCUUUCAGAAUAACAAAAUUCACUUGCCUUGCUUAAACAGCAUUUCAAGUAGAAGUAUUUUUAUUUCAAGGCACCAUAAAAUGAUGAUCUCUCUAAGAAAUACCUCUCCUUC